ACCUAAACCCGAUGGCACGGAUGCCGGUAAAGUAUAUUGUUUUUAUCAAUGAUAUCGGCAGGAGGAACAGCGGGACUGAAC
Molecule: small RNA, 81 nt
Filed under: Pedobacter alluvionis
Lineage: Bacteria; Pseudomonadati; Bacteroidota; Sphingobacteriia; Sphingobacteriales; Sphingobacteriaceae
Description: Flavo-1 RNA
Source: RNAcentral